CAUUUGAUUAUUGUAAAAAUGAUUUGACAUGUCAUUGGAAUAUGAGGUACCUAGCGAUAGUUCCGUUGAAUGUUGCCACAUGGUAAUAAAUCUUCUCUUAGUAACAUAAAUGAA
Long non-coding RNA from Melitaea cinxia (Glanville fritillary), 114 nucleotides. RefSeq lists it as uncharacterized. NCBI's taxonomy places the organism in Eukaryota, Metazoa, Arthropoda, Insecta, Lepidoptera, Nymphalidae. The transcript has 2 exons. The record is from RefSeq and is a predicted model, not a curated record.